ACUUCAGUUGCUUCUUGGGUUUUGAAUGCAAUAAGAAAAUAAAGAAUUGGUAUUUUCUUCGCAAGAUCAAGUUUAAAGAUCGAAUAAGAAGACUACGUUAUCGUCCAAUACUAAAAAAGCACUUAUUCUUUCCCUUCAAUCUAAAAAGUUAUAUAUGUCAUUCUUGAAGGUUGCUUGUGCUUAAACAAAGCAAUGCAACUUUCUUGUUAACCAUUUUUAAAUAUACCCAAUAUAUUCAAAAACUGUUAUGUUAGAUUCGUCAUUUGCCUUACUAUAGACACAAUUCAU
Molecule: long non-coding RNA, 288 nt
Filed under: Carica papaya (papaya)
Lineage: Eukaryota; Viridiplantae; Streptophyta; Magnoliopsida; Brassicales; Caricaceae
Description: long non-coding RNA (CPAP_LNC002162)
Source: RNAcentral